CCUACGGGUGGCAGCAGUGAGGAAUAUUGGUCAAUGGACGCAAGUCUGAACCAGCCAUGCCGCGUGCAGGAAGACGGCUCUAUGAGUUGUAAACUGCUUUUGUACGAGGGUAAACGCAGAUACGCGUAUCUGUCUGAAAGUAUCGUACGAAUAAGGAUCGGCUAACUCCGUGCCAGCAGCCGCGGUAAUACGGAGGAUUCAAGCGUUAUCCGGAUUUAUUGGGUUUAAAGGGUGCGUAGGCGGUCGGAUAAGUUAGAGGUGAAAUCCCGAGGCUCAACUUCGGAAUUGCCUCUGAUACUGUUCGUCUAGAGAGUAGUUGCGGUAGGCGGAAUGUAUGGUGUAGCGGUGAAAUGCUUAGAGAUCAUACAGAACACCGAUUGCGAAGGCAGCUUACCAAGCUACUUCUGACGUUGAGGUACGAAAGCGUGGGGAGCAAACAGGAUUAGAUACCCUUGUAGUC
RNAcentral lists this ribosomal RNA (460 nucleotides) under uncultured bacterium. Its description in RNAcentral is "partial 16S ribosomal RNA". It matches the Rfam family "Bacterial small subunit ribosomal RNA", at positions 338 to 795 of the family's 1533-position model. The record is from RNAcentral.